GCAGCAGGCACGCAAAUUACCCAUUUCCAGAACGGAGAGGUAGUGACAAAAAAUAACGAUACGGGACUCUAUUGAGGCCCCGUAAUCGGAAUGAGUACACUUUAAAUCCUUUAACAAGGAUCCAUUGGAGGGCAAGUCUGGUGCCAGCAGCCGCGGUAAUUCCAGCUCCAAUAGCGUAUAUUAAAUUUGUUGCAGUUAAAAAGCUCGUAGUUGGUUUUGCGUGCCACGCUGUCGGUUCGCCGCCUGCCGGUGCAACUGGCACGCCGUGGCAUGUCCUGUCGGUGGUGAUUGGGUGCCUGGUACCCGGUCCGAGGCCCAGCCGAAGCCGGUGCCGUGUGUAAACUCUCACCGAUUUAACCCUGCCCGGUGCUCUUAAACGAGUGUCGAGGUAGGCCGACAAAUUUACUUUGAACAAAUUAGAGUGCUUCAAGCAGGCAAAAAUCUAGCCUGAAUAGUGGUGCAUGGAAUAAUAAAAUAGGACCUCGGUUCUGUUUUGUUGGUUUUUUGGAACACAAGGUAAUGAUCAAUGUGGACAGGCGGGGGCAUUCGUAUUGCGGCGUUAGAGGUGAAAUUCUUGGAUCGUCGCAAGACGCUCGAGAGCGAAAGCAUUUGCCAAGUAUGUCUUAAUUGAUCAAGAACGAAAGUUAGAGGUUCGAAGGCGAUCAGAUACCGCCCUAGUUCUAACCAUAAACGAUGCCAGCCAGCGAUCCGACGUGUUCCUAUUACGACACGUGCGGGCAGCUUCUACCCCGGGAAACCAAAGCUCUUGGGUUCCGGGGGAAGUAUGGUUGCAAAGCUGAAACUUAAAGGAAUUGACGGAAGGGCACCACCAGGAGUGGAGCCUGCGGCUUAAUUUGACUCAACACGGGAAACCUCACCAGGUCAGGACAUUGAAAGGAUUGACAGAUUGACAGCUCUUUCUUGAUUACAGUGGGUAGUGGUGCAUGGCCGUUC
RNAcentral lists this ribosomal RNA (954 nucleotides) under Neocentrocnemis stali. RNAcentral describes it as "SSU rRNA". It matches the Rfam family "Eukaryotic small subunit ribosomal RNA", at positions 425 to 1293 of the family's 1831-position model. RNAcentral also lists the same sequence under 1 other name. Lineage: Eukaryota; Metazoa; Arthropoda; Insecta; Hemiptera; Reduviidae. The record is from RNAcentral.